CUUAUCAAGAGUGGUGGAGGGAACGGCCCGAUGAAACCCGGCAACCUGCGGGAACGCAAGGUGCCAAAUCCGGCGAAGCAAUCGAAAGAUGAGG
This 94-nucleotide non-coding RNA is filed under the name human gut metagenome. RNAcentral's name for it is "SAM riboswitch (S box leader)". It matches the Rfam family "SAM riboswitch aptamer (S box leader)". Rfam says of the family: The SAM riboswitch is found upstream of a number of genes which code for proteins involved in methionine or cysteine biosynthesis in Gram-positive bacteria. The SAM riboswitch acts at the level of transcription termination control. The predicted structure consists of a complex stem-loop region followed by a single stem loop terminator region. The record is from RNAcentral.